AAUAUCGGUCGCUAGAUUUACACCAAAGUUGUAGGUUUGGUUAAGUCUAGCGUCGGAGAUUAUGUCCGUCGCUAGACUUAACAUAAUUAUCCAAGAGAACGAUGCCCAAAUUCCAAACCCUAACAUAUUGAGCAAGACUUAACGCAAGAGAACGCUCGCCCAACGCAACGCAAGAGACUACCGCCGCCCACCCACCGCCCACCGCUGCUACAGCUUACCUCCACCGCCGACCGCUGCGACAGCUUGCCUCCACCGCCGACCGCUGCGAUAGCCGACCUUCAGUUUGCGAUACGCUGCCUCUGCCAUAUUUGCCGUAUCUACUGUAUUCUCUGCCUCCUCUCCUCUCCACUGCCGCUGCCGAUCCUGACUUGUGCGCCGCUCGUGUUCGUUGCCCACCGCCCACCCUAGACUAGUAGUGUAGCUAGACUACUUUAGCAAGUUUGACUGGGUCCUCUACAAAUUUUUGGACUACUUUAGCAAGUUUGACUGGGAAACAUAUUGUAUUUGUUUAACUGGUCUUGCUCGCAUAUCAUCUUUGCCAGAAAUUGUGGUUGAGGUUCCUGAAAAUGAUGGUGGUGAGUUACUGCUCAACAAUGAUUUUCUUAGAUAUUGUGUCAAAAUGUUUUCUGUUUCUUCAAGAGGGUAUGACAUGAACUCCAGAACCUUUCAACAAAAGCAUCUUACCAUAGUUGAUCCUCUGAAGGAAAAUAAAAAUCUUGGCCGUAGUGUCAGCAAAGGAAAUUUCUAUACAAUAUGGAGUGCUUUCACAUAUGGUGCUAGGAAGCUCAAGAGAAUACUCUUGUAGUUAGACGAUAAAAUUGUUGCCGAGCUUCAUAAUUUUUUUGCCAACACUUUGGGUCGACAUGGAAAUGGGCAGAGGCCUGAUGUUCAAGAUCUUUAGUCCAGUAGCUAGCUGUAAUAGUUUUUGUCAUAGUAACUUUACUUUUGUUAUUGCUAAUGAGUAUGAAUAUUUAAAUAUAAUAUAUUUUGCAAUUAUAUUA
Ipomoea triloba (trilobed morning glory) is the source of this 1001-nucleotide long non-coding RNA. RefSeq lists it as uncharacterized. Lineage: Eukaryota; Viridiplantae; Streptophyta; Magnoliopsida; Solanales; Convolvulaceae. The record is from RefSeq and is a predicted model, not a curated record. The transcript is spliced from 4 exons.